UUACGGGAGGCAGCAGUCGAGAAUUUUUCACAAUGGGCGCAAGCCUGAUGGAGCGACGCCGCGUGGGGGAUGAAUGGCUUCGGCCCGUAAACCCCUGUCAUUUGCGAUCAAACCUUAUUAUUUAAAAGAUGAUAAGUUGAUAGUAGCGAAAGAGGAAGGGACGGCUAACUCUGUGCCAGCAGCCGCGGUAAUACAGAGGUCCCAAGCGUUGUUCGGAUUCACUGGGCGUAAAGGGUGCGUAGGUGGUGGGGUAAGUCGGAUGUGAAAGCUCGGAGCUCAACUCCGAAAUGGCAUUGGAAACUACCCUGCUAGAGGAUUGGAGGGGGGACUGGAAUACUUGGUGUAGCAGUGAAAUGCGUAGAUAUCAAGUGGAACACCAGUGGCGAAGGCGAGUCCCUGGACAAUACCUGACACUGAGGCACGAAAGCUAGGGGAGCAAACAGGAUUAGAUACCCCGGUA
Molecule: ribosomal RNA, 460 nt
Filed under: uncultured bacterium
Lineage: Bacteria
Description: bacterial SSU rRNA
Rfam family: Bacterial small subunit ribosomal RNA
Source: RNAcentral